Leopardus geoffroyi (Geoffroy's cat) is the source of this 3658-nucleotide long non-coding RNA. RefSeq lists it as uncharacterized. The record is from RefSeq and is a predicted model, not a curated record. Lineage: Eukaryota; Metazoa; Chordata; Mammalia; Carnivora; Felidae. The transcript is spliced from 2 exons.
GGGGGAGCAGCCCGGAAAAUUCUGCAGCGUUGGCGGAACUCACCAAGAGGGCGGCGUGAGGGAGUUUUCAAACCGAGUCCAGAGGCAGAGAAACUCAAGUGUGAUGCAGGCGGCCGGAGGGGCCCAAAGCCUCCUGGAUUCUCGGCUCCUGCCUGCGGGUUAAGGGCCCACCCUGGGGCGGCAGCUUCCCAUCCGCUUCUGGAGCCGGUCUGUCCGUGGUCAGGCCGCUGAACCCCCCCGGGGCCUCCUCUGCCAGCCAGUGCCCGUAGCGCCAGCUCCCGAUGCUGUGGCCCGCGAUGGGAACGAAACAAGACAAUGUGUGCAGACACGGGGGGGGGGGGGGGGGGGGGCGGUCAGCUCCUCGGGGGGCCUUUGCGGCAUCAUCUCUGGUUGUCACAACCAGGAGGGUGAGGCGUCUGGCAUCUGAGUAGAGACCAGGGAUGCCGCAGAACAGUCUGCAAUGCAAUGCACAGGACGGUCCCCCGCAGAGAAGUGUCCCCGACCGACCGAAACGUCAGCAGGGCCUCGGUGACAAACACUGAGCCCCUGAACGUAGCGCCCUGAACGUCGAAUGGUAAAUGUUGGUUUUACGAUGCAGGGGCCCAUCUGGAGUACAAGGGGAGGUGGAUGGGAGAACGGGGUGUGCCAUGAGAAGGCAGCACGCCGACGGUGGCUGCCUCUGACAAAGGCUCCGUCCCUCUUCAUCCAGACGGCAAAUACUUACCACGCCACGCACUCCUCCAGGUGCUGAGCCGGCAUGGACCGGCCCAGGUGCUCACGGAGCGUCCGGUCUGGAGGGGAAGAGACUCAGCCCGACAGAGCGAGUAAACAGAAAUGGCCCGGAAGAUCCUUCGAGGGUGAGGACUGGGUAAACAGACCACGGUAGACGCGUGCCACGCAAGAGUUUUCAGCCGUGAAAAGGCACCGACGCCCCGCGCGACUGCAGGGUGAGCCCCGAACGCGUUUGCUGAGUGAAAGAAGCCAGACGGAAAGACCACAUCCUGCACGCACGUUCCCAAAGAUGUUUGCGGUGGGGGCUGCAUAACCCCGUGCGUGUACCACAGGCCACUGAAUUGUACACUUCGAGCAGGUGAAUCUCCAUAUAGCCGUUACAUAUGGAAACAUUAACGAUGGCCCCUGCCCACCUCCGAUCUGGUCACAUGCAAUUUCGUGGAAACUUCAGGAGUCCGAUUCCCUCCAAAAGGUUGGCCUGGAGCCAGCUGUAACCUCAGAAAUCUGCUUGCCACUCAAGGAUGAUCACAAAAGGGGCAGUUGAACUGGACACUCACUAGCUCAGUAGACAGGAUCCCCACUUCUUCCUCCUCAUCCAUCCCUGCCCACGAAGAUGUGCCCCCCACCUGGAACCUGUCUCCCGUGAGAGCCAGUGACAGACAUCUGGCUGUGGUUCUGGGACAGCAGAGGGGGCAGGCCAAGCCCAUGGACAUUCCGAGACUGACCUCACUGGGCUGGCAAGGGUACCAGGGGGACACCGUUAGCAGCUCUCCCCCCCCCCCCCCCCCCACUUUGUGACACAUGUCCUCAAGCACCAAAAUGAAGGUGAUGAGUCUCUUGCCGGUGUGACGGGUUUUGUAGCUCAGAGCCAGGUUCAAAUUCUGCCUCUGGUCUUUACCAGCCCUACGAACCCGGGCACGCGAUCUCCCUGCUCCGAGCCUGUUUUCUCGCCUACAAAACGAUCUUUCCAAAACCACCCCCACCAAAAGGCCAGUGCUUCUUUGGGGCUCCGCUCAGGGCCCGGUGUGAAGCACUGAGAGGCCACCACAUCCCUGGGUGGCAUCUAUCGGCUUCCCUCCGUCCCCUGCCUACAUUUCACUUUUUCCUUACGUUCUACGGACGACUUCCACGGCAUGGCACACGGCAUAAUAGUUCAAAAUUACGGACCACUCCUCCAGGGGGAUUGUAUGGCCAGCCACACCCACGGCCGUCUGGACCACGUGACCUGUUCUGGCCAAUGAGCUGUGAGCAGAAGUGACAUCCCUUGUUUCCAGGCAGAAACUUUCAGAGCCGAUGCCGGGUGGCCAGGCGUGUCUACUACCUCUGCCACAAGACAUCGUCCCAGAUGUUGGCUCCUCUCUCGGCCAGGCUCCCAGCGCAAAGAGGACACAGAGCAGAGCUGUAGCCACCCUUGAAGGACAAGUGGCAAUCCUAAGACAAGCCUCUGUUGUUGAAGGGAUGACACCUGGGGUCAUAUCCUGGCUGAUGCACAUUGUGGCUGCUGGAAGGGCUUCCCGAGAGCUGCUGCCUGGUGCAAUGGAUGAUUCACCGUUAGAAUGUGAUGCCCUUGACUUGGCGGCCACUUGGCAGGUACUACACGAGCAGUGGAUGUGACCAUGACUUGGCGUUUCUGCACACAGAUCUGACAACAGCCUGAGCUCCGAGAUUAAUCUGCUAACGUGAGUUGUGUGGAAACGCUGGCCUUAGCACGUGGGAGGCUCUUCCAUUGGAUUCGUGGCCUGUGACCGUCUUCACCUCUGGGGAACCACUGCCUGUUCCCCUCCCUGCUCCUGGCCACCCACCAGCAAGAGCCGUGUGCACGGAGGCCAUUGUCCACCUGUGCCCCUGCCAAGGUCAGGUUUACUAAGCUUGCUGCAGCAGGGAAGAGCAUACACCAGGCGAACCAGGGGGCGGCUCUCCCCACGUCUCCUUGGCCGUGAUUUUCCCUGUUGGCUGAACCCGGGUCUGUUGUGCCAUUCCAAACCUCCUCGUUCUUUGCCAUUCCACUUCUUCUUUUAAUGCUUAUUUAUUUUUCAAGGAGAGAGAGACAGAGCGUGACCAGGGGAGGGGCAGAGAGAGAGGGAGACACAGAAUCCGAAGUGGGCUCCAGGCUCCGAGCCAUCAGCCCAGAGCCCGACGCGGGGCUCAAACCCACAAACUGCGAGAUCGUGACCUGAGGUGAAGUCAGACGCUUAACCGACUGAGCCACCCAGGUGCCCCUUUGCUAUUUCACGUCUGUCCCCUGAAGUCCAAUCUGGGUCAGGGGCCUGUAGCACCCUCCUAACACUGGUCUUAAUGAUGGUGGUCUUCAGAAUUUUGGCCUCUCAGCAACAUUGCCCUCUCAGUACCCAGUCAUGCUCAGUAGACAGUGGGUACUCACUAAGGACUGGUUCUCUCCUGAGUUGGUUGCUUUGUGCUGGUGGGGCUGUGGCAGAGCAGAAGGCAGCUCUCCGCAGUCCAGUUCGUCAAGGUCGUAUCAGGGAACUGGAUGGGGGUGCAAAGUGUCCCCCAACUCAUGGCUGUUGGGAGGGGCCUGGCAGAAGCCGCAAGGAACCAUGUACCCCAGGCUCAGGCUCCAAUACCUUUCGCCACCCCUGCCCUCUUCUCACCCGCUCCACUCCUGGCAGCUGGGGACCCCAAGCAGAACAACUGUCUCUUAAAGAUGGGGUUUUGUGGUUGGGAUCAGUCCCUUCCCGAAUGGCAAGGACCAGGGGUUCAGGGAUUUCAACAAAAGAACUCGCAAAAACCAUCUCUUUAUUUAUCAUUCCUGCCAUACAACCAGUUUGCACAAGCUGAGGGUGGGUGGAUUUUGCAAAGAAAAGAGCAUCUGGGUAUAGACCCUCCUGGAAACAGUCUAAACACACUGCUAAGGCUGGUUAGACUCGAGAAGCAAUUUAACAAUAAACUCUACACAAUUAGAAAUGUA